This 890-nucleotide ribosomal RNA is filed under the name Escherichia coli. RNAcentral describes it as "partial 23S ribosomal RNA". It matches the Rfam family "Bacterial large subunit ribosomal RNA", at positions 1 to 931 of the family's 2925-position model. The record is from RNAcentral. Lineage: Bacteria; Pseudomonadati; Pseudomonadota; Gammaproteobacteria; Enterobacterales; Enterobacteriaceae.
GGUUAAGCGACUAAGCGUACACGGUGGAUGCCCUGGCAGUCAGAGGCGAUGAAGGACGUGCUAAUCUGCGAUAAGCGUCGGUAAGGUGAUAUGAACCGUUAUAACCGGCGAUUUCCGAAUGGGGAAACCCAGUGUGAUUCGUCACACUAUCAUUAACUGAAUCCAUAGGUUAAUGAGGCGAACCGGGGGAACUGAAACAUCUAAGUACCCCGAGGAAAAGAAAUCAACCGAGAUUCCCCCAGUAGCGGCGAGCGAACGGGGAGCAGCCCAGAGCCUGAAUCAGUGUGUGUGUUAGUGGAAGCGUCUGGAAAGGCGCGCGAUACAGGGUGACAGCCCCGUACACAAAAAUGCACAUGCUGUGAGCUCGAUGAGUAGGGCGGGACACGUGGUAUCCUGUCUGAAUAUGGGGGGACCAUCCUCCAAGGCUAAAUACUCCUGACUGACCGAUAGUGAACCAGUACCGUGAGGGAAAGGCGAAAAGAACCCCGGCGAGGGGAGUGAAAAAGAACCUGAAACCGUGUACGUACAAGCAGUGGGAGCACAGAGCAAUCUGUGUGACUGCGUACCUUUUGUAUAAUGGGUCAGCGACUUAUAUUCUGUAGCAAGGUUAACCGAAUAGGGGAGCCGAAGGGAAACCGAGUCUUAACUGGGCGUUAAGUUGCAGGGUAUAGACCCGAAACCCGGUGAUCUAGCCAUGGGCAGGUUGAAGGUUGGGUAACACUAACUGGAGGACCGAACCGACUAAUGUUGAAAAAUUAGCGGAUGACUUGUGGCUGGGGGUGAAAGGCCAAUCAAACCGGGAGAUAGCUGGUUCUCCCCGAAAGCUAUUUAGGUAGCGCCUCGUGAAUUCAUCUCCGGGGGUAGAGCACUGUUUCGGCAAGGGGGUCAUC